This 170-nucleotide unclassified non-coding RNA is filed under the name Plectosphaerella oratosquillae. RNAcentral describes it as "partial internal transcribed spacer 2". Lineage: Eukaryota; Fungi; Ascomycota; Sordariomycetes; Glomerellales; Plectosphaerellaceae. RNAcentral also lists the same sequence under 1 other name. The record is from RNAcentral.
CAACCCUCGAGCCCCCCGUGGCCCGGCGUUGGGGAUCUGCCACGGCAGGCCCCUAAAACCAGUGGCGGACCCGCUGGGCCCUCUCCUUUGCGUAGUAGCAUCAGCCUCGCAUCGGGAGCCCUCGGCGUCCUGCCUCUAAACCCCCCACAAGCCCGCUCCGGCGGCACCAA